GAAGCUGCUUAUUGAAGAAGCACCUUCUCCAGUAAGUUAUUUUUUAGGGAUAGGUCAUCCAAGCAGUUUGUUGACAUCUGCCCCUUUUCAAUUAGAUGUGUUUACAGCUGUAAAUUGGCUCAUGUGGCAGCUUCCUGUCCAUACUUUCUACUACCGCCAUUUCAUCUUUGUCCCUGCAACAAAAACAGUAUAUAAAUCAGUGUUUGAAAAAGAUGAAUUGCAGAUUCAGUUGCAAGAUACAAGCAUUCAAACGAUGGAAAUUUGUUCAAUCUACAUGUAAAUUAUUAGUCAAAUAAUUUAUUUAUUUACUUUUUAUAGUCUAGAAGUGCUCUUUUUUAGUCCAUUGUACCAUUAACUCUUUAGUUGGCUCACAUAACUUCACAUUGUAUAUUUUAUAUGUACAGGGACUAACGUUAAAGUUGCACUAAAAUCCAGUUAAAAUUAAAAUAUGUGUAUAGUUUAAUUUUUAUUUCUCAUAUAUAUCUAGAUUUUACAUCUGUCUAUAAAAAAGAAGUUCAGUUUUUAUUUCUAA
Molecule: long non-coding RNA, 532 nt
Organism: Mercurialis annua (annual mercury)
Lineage: Eukaryota; Viridiplantae; Streptophyta; Magnoliopsida; Malpighiales; Euphorbiaceae
Exons: 2
Source: RefSeq, a predicted model, not a curated record